RNA transcript from Loxodonta africana (African savanna elephant), 19115 nucleotides. It is a transcript of the gene named disco interacting protein 2 homolog B, with no coding region annotated. Lineage: Eukaryota; Metazoa; Chordata; Mammalia; Proboscidea; Elephantidae. The record is from RefSeq and is a predicted model, not a curated record. The transcript has 40 exons.
UCCUGUAGCCGGGGUGUGGACCCGCGUCAGUCCGUCCCUCUUUCGGCCCUCUCUCUCUUGUCUUCCGGAGUGUGGCUGGCGGAGCCGGGAUGGCGGAGCGAGGCCUGGAGCCCUCGCCGGCCGCGGUGGCGGCGCUGCCGCCCGAAGUGCGGGCGCAGCUGGCGGAGCUGGAGCUGGAGCUCUCGGAGGGGGACAUCACACAGAAGGGAUAUGAAAAGAAAAGGUCAAAACUCCUGUCUCCUUACAUCCCGCAGACACAAGAAACUGAUUCAGCAGUACAGAAAGAACAUAGAAACCAGACACCUGCUCCGUCUGCAGCUCAAACUUCCGCUCCUUCUAAAUACCACCGAACUCGAUCUGGGGGAGCCAGGGAUGAACGAUAUCGAUCAGAUAUCCACACAGAAGCAGUUCAAGCCGCGCUGGCAAAGCAUAAAGAACAGAAAAUGGCGUUGCCCAUGCCAACCAAAAGGCGGUCUACAUUUGUCCAGUCUCCUGCGGAUGCCUGCACACCUCCAGACACGUCUUCGGCCUCUGAGGAUGAGGGCUCUCUGAGACGCCAAGCUGCGCUCUCUGCUGCCUUACAACAGAGCUUACAGAAUGCGGAGUCCUGGAUCAACCGUUCAAUUCAGGGAUCGUCCACUUCUUCAUCCGCAUCUUCUACGCUGUCCCAUGGAGAGGUCAAAGGAACCAGUGGGUCUCUAGCUGAUGUAUUUGCCAGUACUCGAAUAGAGAGUUUCUCUGCUCCCCCCGACGUCACUACAACUACCUCUUCCUCAUCAUCAUCUUCCUCAGUACGCCCAGCAAAUAUUGACCUGCCCCCCUCGGGGAUAGUUAAAGGCAUGCACAAAGGAUCCAACAGGUCCAGCCUUAUGGAUACAGCUGAUGGUGUGCCUGUCAAUAGCAGAGUAUCCACAAAAAUUCAGCAGCUUCUCAACACUCUGAAACGACCCAAAAGGCCUCCCUUAAAGGAAUUUUUUGUGGAUGACUCUGAGGAAAUUGUGGAAGUACCCCAGCCAGACCCCAACCAGCCGAAGCCUGAGGGACGGCAGAUGACCCCUGUGAAGGGAGAGCCGUUAGGUGUCAUCUGUAACUGGCCUCCUGCUCUCGAAUCUGCCCUGCAGCGCUGGGGUACCACUCAAGCAAAAUGCCCCUGUCUGACUGCACUGGAUGUGACAGGAAAACCAGUUUACACUCUUACGUAUGGAAAAUUAUGGAGCAGAAGUUUAAAGUUGGCCUAUACACUGCUUAAUAAACUGGGGACCAAAAAUGAACCCGUGUUAAAACCUGGAGACAGGGUCGCUCUGGUUUACCCCAACAAUGAUCCAGUCAUGUUUAUGGUGGCGUUUUAUGGAUGUCUCCUGGCAGAAGUGAUUCCAGUGCCUAUAGAGGUACCUCUUACCAGAAAGGAUGCUGGAGGUCAGCAGAUUGGCUUCUUACUAGGAAGCUGUGGUAUUGCCUUAGCUCUUACCAGUGAAGUUUGUCUGAAGGGGCUGCCAAAAACCCAGAAUGGAGAAAUAGUACAAUUUAAAGGUUGGCCCCGGCUCAAAUGGGUUGUAACAGAUUCCAAAUACCUUUCAAAGCCACCUAAGGACUGGCAGCCCCACAUCUCACCUGCUGGUAUAGAGCCGGCAUACAUUGAGUAUAAAACAAGCAAAGAAGGGAGUGUAAUGGGAGUUACAGUGUCCCGGCUUGCAAUGUUGUCUCACUGCCAAGCUCUGUCCCAGGCCUGCAAUUAUUCUGAAGGGGAAACGGUAGUAAAUGUUUUAGACUUCAAGAAGGAUGCUGGUCUGUGGCAUGGCAUGUUUGCGAAUAUAAUGAAUAAGAUGCAUACAAUCAGUGUACCAUACUCUGUUAUGAAGACCUGUCCUCUCUCUUGGGUCCAGCGAGUACAUACCCACAAAGCCAAAGUAGCAUUAGUAAAAUGCCGAGACUUGCACUGGGCUAUGAUGGCACAUCGGGACCAACGAGAUGUGAGCUUGAGUUCCCUCCGAAUGUUAAUCGUGACUGAUGGGGCUAAUCCCUGGUCUGUGUCAUCCUGUGAUGCCUUCUUGAGUCUGUUCCAAAGCCAUGGACUGAAACCUGAGGCCAUCUGUCCAUGUGCUACGUCGGCUGAAGCCAUGACUGUAGCAAUCCGCAGGCCUGGAGUUCCAGGGGCCCCUUUGCCGGGAAGAGCCAUUCUCUCAAUGAAUGGUUUGAGCUAUGGGGUAAUACGGGUAAAUACUGAAGAUAAAAAUUCCGCACUGACAGUCCAGGAUGUGGGACACGUAAUGCCUGGUGGAAUGAUGUGCAUCGUGAGGCCAGAUGGACCUCCCCAACUCUGCAGAACAGAUGAAAUUGGAGAAAUCUGUGUUAGCUCCAGGACAGGAGGCAUGAUGUACUUUGGGCUUGCUGGUGUGACAAAAAAUACAUUUGAGGUGAUUCCAGUGAAUUCUGCAGGCGCUCCUGUUGGGGACGUGCCAUUCAUCCGGUCAGGAUUGCUGGGGUUUGUCGGGCCGGGUAGCUUGGUGUUUGUGGUUGGAAAAAUAGAUGGAUUACUGAUGGUUAGUGGUCGAAGGCAUAAUGCCGAUGACAUUGUUGCUACUGGACUGGCUGUAGAAUCAAUAAAGACUGUUUAUAGAGGAAGAAUUGCUGUGUUUUCUGUGUCUGUAUUUUAUGAUGAGCGCAUUGUGGUGGUUGCGGAACAAAGACCCGAUGCGUCUGAGGAAGAUAGUUUCCAGUGGAUGAGCCGUGUGCUGCAGGCAAUUGACAGCAUUCAUCAAGUGGGAGUUUAUUGUCUUGCUCUGGUGCCUGCCAAUACAUUGCCAAAAACUCCACUCGGAGGGAUCCAUUUAUCUCAGACGAAACAGCUCUUUCUGGAGGGGUCUCUGCAUCCUUGCAAUAUCCUCAUGUGCCCACAUACAUGUGUGACCAAUCUGCCAAAGCCCCGGCAAAAGCAACCAGGUGUAGGCCCUGCUUCUGUGAUGGUUGGGAACCUGGUUGCUGGGAAACGCAUAGCACAAGCUGCAGGAAGGGAUCUUGGGCAAAUUGAAGAGAAUGAUUUAGUAAGGAAGCACCAGUUUCUGGCGGAGAUUUUACAGUGGCGAGCCCAGGCAACUCCUGACCAUGCCCUCUUCAUGCUGUUAAAUGCCAAGGGAACUACCGUGUGCACAGCCAGCUGCCUUCAGCUUCAUAAGCGAGCAGAGAGGAUUGCAUCAGUUCUGGGUGAUAAGGGUCAUCUAAAUGCAGGAGACAAUGUGGUAUUGCUCUAUCCACCUGGCAUCGAGUUAAUUGCUGCCUUCUACGGCUGCCUGUAUGCAGGGUGCAUUCCUGUGACAGUCCGACCUCCCCACGCUCAGAACCUUAUGGCCACCCUGCCCACUGUCCGAAUGAUUGUUGAUGUCAGCAAAGCAGCCUGUAUUCUCACCACCCAGACGCUAACGAGGCUACUGAGAUCCCGAGAGGCGGCGGCAGCUGUGGAUGUGAAAACCUGGCCAGCUAUCAUUGACACAGAUGAUUUACCCAGGAAAAGGUUACCUCAGCUCUAUAAACCACCCACUCCUGAGAUGUUGGCGUAUCUUGAUUUUAGCGUCUCCACAACUGGCAUGCUUACAGGAGUGAAGAUGUCCCACUCUGCAGUGAACGCUCUCUGUAGAGCCAUCAAGCUCCAGUGUGAGUUGUAUUCUUCUCGGCAGAUUGCCAUCUGCCUUGACCCUUACUGUGGACUUGGCUUUGCACUCUGGUGUCUCUGCAGUGUCUAUUCAGGCCACCAGUCCAUCCUGAUUCCUCCUAUGGAGUUAGAAAACAACCUUUUCCUCUGGCUCUCUACUGUCAACCAGUACAAAAUAAGAGAUACUUUCUGCUCCUACUCAGUAAUGGAGCUCUGCACCAAAGGACUUGGAAACCAAGUGGAGGUGCUCAAGACCAGAGGCAUCAACCUUUCCUGCAUCCGGACCUGUGUGGUGGUGGCGGAGGAGCGGCCCCGCAUCGCCCUCCAGCAGUCCUUCUCCAAGCUCUUUAAAGACAUCGGACUGUCCCCUCGGGCCGUCAGCACCACUUUUGGAUCAAGAGUCAAUGUAGCAAUAUGUUUACAGGGAACCUCAGGGCCUGAUCCAACAACUGUGUACGUUGACCUGAAAUCACUAAGACAUGACAGGGUUCGUCUUGUGGAAAGGGGUGCCCCCCAGAGUUUACUCCUCUCAGAGUCUGGAAAGAUUUUACCUGGAGUGAAAGUGGUUAUUGUUAAUCCUGAGACCAAAGGACCUGUUGGAGAUUCUCACCUGGGAGAGAUUUGGGUGAACAGUCCCCACACAGCCAGUGGUUAUUACACCAUCUAUGAUAGCGAGACUCUUCAAGCUGAUCAUUUCAACACUCGCCUCAGCUUUGGGGACGCUGCGCAGACACUCUGGGCUCGAACAGGAUACCUGGGGUUUGUCCGCAGGACGGAGCUCACAGCGGCCACUGGAGAGCGUCAUGAUGCAUUAUAUGUAGUGGGAGCUCUGGAUGAAACACUGGAGCUGAGAGGAUUGCGAUACCACCCGAUCGAUAUUGAGACCUCGGUGUCUCGGAUCCACAGGAGCAUUGCCGAAUGUGCUGUGUUCACGUGGACCAACUUGCUUGUGGUGGUUGUGGAACUGUGUGGCUCUGAACAGGAAGCCCUGGAUCUGGUCCCUUUGGUGACAAAUGUGGUCCUAGAAGAGCAUUACCUCAUCGUUGGCGUCGUCGUUGUGGUGGACCCAGGGGUUAUCCCCAUCAACUCCAGAGGAGAGAAGCAGAGGAUGCACCUCCGUGACAGCUUCCUAGCUGACCAGCUAGACCCCAUCUAUGUGGCUUAUAAUAUGUAACCAGCCUGGUGGGGACUGCAGGGGGCCAGUUCUGAAGAACCACAAGGACCGAACACCCAUGACUAGGAGCAAGUUUGAAAAUGAUGUGAAAUAAGUUGAGAUGGUUACAUUAUAUCCUUCAUCUCAUCCUGUGAGAUUCUGCAAUCACACAAACACAGGAAAGGGAAAUUCUAUGGUGGCAAAUGAAAAAAAUGUUAACAGCUUAUUAGACAUGAGCUUUGACAUAGCGUGAGCGGCACAUUACUAAAGCAAUUACAUGCAUGUUGCAUUUUUUUCAUCUGUUGUACAUACUUGUAUUUUUAUCUAAUGCUGUUUUAGAAUUUUGUAAGGAAGUUUAUUGAAUUUACAUGAAGGGGUAGUCUGAGUCACACAGUUCCCCCACUCUGUACUGUAUUUUGCCAUUUUACUGUAGCUAGACAUUCUGCAGGUUUUGUUAACAUGGAACUACUCAGCUUACUUUCAGUUGACCCAUGAGCAAAUCAGGUAACCCACAGAAUCUGAGAGUUACUUCUCUAUAUAUAUGCUUCUAGGCUGUAAAACAUUUUGACCAGUGUUUUAACUAUGUAAAUAAGAAUACACAUAAUUCAGCUAAAGAAUUCAAGAAUUGGCUUAUCUAAUUAAAACAACCAAAGUAGAAACAUUUCUGCUUUGAGAGAAUUUCAAGAUUCUCUAUUCGUAGUGUAAUUGAUUAAGUAACUGAAAUGUGCAAAUCGUUUGCAGGUUUUUGCUGCACAUUGUACUGUGUCUCCGUUGGCUGGUGUGUUUUAUAAAUUAAAGCUGCCUGUGUUUGUUGUUAAAGCUGGCAUCCUUGGGAUCGGCUUAAGCAUUAAGAAUUCAGCCUGUUUCUAUGAGCUGAAAAUCUCAGUUUAAAAAUCAAAAAUGUUAAGAAGCAGCUAAGAUUCAUUAGAUCUCCCCCUAUUCUAAGGAACCACAGUAACUCACUGUGGCCCCCAGGUUUUGAAACUGUCUUUCAAACUUAGAACAACUACUUAAGAACUUAGAAUUUCCCCUUUUUCCAGGCCUAUUGUAAACUCCAUCUACAGUUUCUACAUAUAGCUUCUCUUUCCUGAAAACUGAAGCUGUCCUCUGUUCUUCCUGUCCACGAGGGCAGGGAUUUAAAAAAAAAAAAAAAAAGAAUGUUGGCUGGGAAGGCAGUGGGAUCAGUAGUCACACGAAGCUGCAAGGCCACAUAACAAAAAAACUCAAAACUGACCAAUUUUGUUUGCCAAAAUAGCCAGGCUUAUGCUGAAAUAGGGGAAGCCUGAUGUAUGCAAGAAGCUCUUUUGAAAUGACUGGUGCCCAGGCCAAGCCGACUGAGCACGGGACUGAGUUUGACCUCCGGCUUGGUUUCCUUUCUUUGGUCUGAUACUUCACAUAUUUGAAUAUAGUUGAAUUUUAUUAUUUUUUUCUUACAGAAAUAUUUUUAAAAAUUAAGAAAAAACUCAAAGUGAACAGAGUUAACUUGUUAAAUCAGAAUGGGUCUCUUUGACCCACUCUGAUCUAUUGUGUAAAUAUUUAUUUAGACUAUUUUAAUAAUACACAUUAUUUACCCCACUGUAACAUCAUGUAAACUAAGUAUGUUUUUAAACAAUUUUUAAGACUUGUAAUUAUCCUGAAAAUAAGGUUUAUAAUGCAAAGCACCAGACCCUUCACCAGGGCAGCACUCUUGGAGGCUACCCUUACACAGUCUCAUGACCCAGAACCACUUCGUGACUUCCUUUUUCAUAAUCCUCUUUUGCUCCUAACUCAUUCUCCACAGUGGGUGGACUUAAGACAUUUUCCAGUUCUAGAUUUCGUUUUCAGCAUUUUGGAUGGAAUUAAUUUAUAUGUGAUGGGAAAGGUUUUAGGAUGCACAGGAAAAAAAACGCUUACAUUAGGGCAAGCAAGAAAUCCCAGUGACUAGCAAUGCUUUGGUUUGCAGAGAAAAGAGCCUGCUUGUUUAUGGAAAGUGAUUUUCUCCAGACAAUUGUUAACGAUUUACUAGGCAAAAGCAGGGAAUCAUGGGGAUUAGUUAAAUCAUUCCAUUUCCAUAUUCAGUUCUAAGAAAAAAAUACACUGUCUCCCUUGACAUAAUUACGGCUUGCUUUGGUAAUUCUUAAUAACAUGAGUUAUUAAGAAUUAAUAAUUCUUAAUAAUUCUUAAUUAUUAAGCAUCUAGAGCUGCAGUGUCUUAUAGAAAUAGACUGUGAGCCACAUCUGUAGUUUAAAAUGUUAUGGUAAUCCUAUUUCUAAAAGUAAAAAGAAAUAGGUGAUGAUGAUUUUAAUAUAUUUUAUUUAGCCCUGUAUAUCAAAAAUACUAUCAUUCAGCAUGAAAUCAAUAUAAAAAAUUGUCGAGAUAUUUUACAUACUUUUUUUUUCCAUCUUAAGCUUCAAAAUUCAGUGUAUAUUUUAUACUUCACAGCAGAUCUCAAUUUGGAUUACCCACGUCUCAAGUUUUAGGAAGAUAGCCACAUGUGGCUGACAGCUCCUGUAUUGGACUGUGCAGGUCUACACUCAUUCCUUCAAAUAAGAUACGCCAUUAAUUGCAGACUGUGGCCAACUCCCAGUUACUUAAUAAAAAAAAACUAAACCCACUGCCAUCAAGUCAAUUCCAAUUCAUAGAACUGCCCCAUAGGGUUUCCAAGGCUGUAAAUCUUGAUGGAAGCAGACUGCCACAUCUUUCUCCCACAGAGCGGCUGGUGGGUUUGAACUGCUGACCUCUAGGUUAGCAGCUAAGCACUUAACCAGUGCACCAUGAGGGCUCCUCCUAGUUACUUAGGGGCUGAUUAUCCAGUGUUGUAGUUCCUUGGGCCUCUGAUUUAUCUUUAUUGCUUUGCUUUUUGCCUAUGACUGCUUUUAGUAUCUUUUUUAUAUCCCCCAAGCCAGAAUAUGUUAGUGGAGGAAAGGAAGCAGAGAUCUGUCCUUGAGGAGCUUUACCAGCAGCUCUGGUAAAGCAUCUUUUUCAGGGAGGAGAGGCCACUCAUUAGCUGACGUGCUGUCUCUGGGGCCAUCUGCAGAUUUAAUGCCUAGUCUGUCGUGGAUGAGAGCAGACUCGGGUAAGAAAACUUUCCCUUGGUAACACAAUGCUCUCGCAUUAAGUAGAACCUUUGUGCCAGAACUGACUCCUAGGGCUGUCCCAGAAGGCCAUUAUUGACAAAACACAGCCUUGUCAAUCCUGGGGACACUUUCUGCUGGGUCCUUAUGCCUAUGAAAGAGAAAAUUAAUAGCAAGCCCCUUCUCAGUUAAGGGAAAUCUAUUAAUCUGUAAGUUUCUGAACCUCUGUCUCUCAGCAGAAGUAACAGAUCAGGAAGUCACUACUUCAAGAGAAUUCUAGGCACUGGGGAUUCUUAGAGCUACACAGGUUCCAUCUUCUGUAUCAGUGAGACCAGCAUGCUGAUUGGCACGAGCCAGUCCACACCGGCUUUAUUUCCUUCCUGCCUCAGAAAGGGCCCGGUUCUCCCCCAUACCAAGUCCUUUCCUUAUGAAGUUGUGUUGCCUCAGGCUAUUUAGGGACCAUCACCUGUCUAGUGGUCAUAUGAGUGUGUCUUCUUAUAUUAGUCCCUGGGGAAAGCUUGCUUAAUGCUUUUGUUGAAUCAACAAAGGACCUGAGACCUUAAGUGUUUUUUUAAGGUCUCUGCCCCAGGCAUGGUGCUCAAUAUCUUGGCCAAAUAAAUUACUUUCCUUGAAUAUCCAGGAAUCUUUUAGACUAAAGCAAUGAGAGGUUCUCACCUCACCCUCAAACUCCAACAUGAUCUAUGCCUUAGUGUUUUUGUGGUCUGCUUUGAUGUAAAAGCAAAGGUAUUUGGAACAAGAAGCUGCAGUACUCCAAAUACACAGUAAGCCUUUUCUUUCUCAUUCAUACAUUUCUGGUUUAGGUAUAUGAGAUGGGCCAUGUUACUUGUUCAGAGGAAGAGAUUGUAAAGAUAUAAUAAUUUUUUAGUCCUAAAUGCUGUUUUGUUUACUUUCUGUCAAGUUAUUUACCGGUGUCAAAUUCAAACUAUAGUACUGUGUAAUUAUGUAUAAAGUUUUUUUUUAUUUAUUUGAAAUUAGACUAGGUAUACAUUUUUAAAUUUAACAUCUGGCUGGACAGUGUUCUAUUAACUCAUUGAAUAUGUUUCCUUUGUCUUGUGUUAAUAAAUAUUGAUGCCUGAUUGUGUUUAAUCCUUCACAUGUUGGGAGGGGUUAGGAAAUGACAGAUUUUAAACUUACCUUCAGGUAGUAAGACACAGUGGUAGCUGGAGUGGUCAAAGGAAAGUGAGCACAGAGAUCAAAAACCAAUGCUAAAAACAGAGGCCAGAUCAAGAGAGAGCGGAGAGUCAUUUUGAAAACAGUUAAGUCUUUUGUCAGGACUUCUCAAAGUAACAGUUAUAGUUAAGUUUUCCUCCUACCUAUGCGGCAUUUGGCAGUUCUGAACCGUUGAUCAUAAACUUGACAAUAAACUGAAGGAAGUUUGAAUUUUUUCCAAUCUGUAACUAGGCUGGACUUCAGCUUUUCCUUAAGUGAUACUUCUUUGUUCUUCCGCUUCCUGGUUUCAGGAAACCUGAUUGGAGCACAUUGAAUCAUACAUGUUUGCAGACACAGAAACUUGUCCUUGAAUUAUGGUCUGGGCUUUUUUGGCAGCUGAGAACAUUUUUUCAUUUAAUAGACAUUUAUUGCCUGCCUGCCCACUAAGUUCAAGGCACUGUGAUAAAAGCUGAAGCUAGAGAGAGAAAAACAUCAAGUCCCUGCCCUUGAAGGAGGUACAGGGUAGAGAUGGACUGUAGGAGCAGUUAAUAUAGGCACCAAAUCCAAUGGUGAGGGAGAACAGUUGGGAAUAGCAGAAUAGCAUGCUUGAAGAGGUAACAUGUGGACUGAGUCAAAGUGAGACAGCCAGAUAAAGAAGAACAAGCAGGAAGGCAGAGUUGUAGGUAUACUCUGGGAACUGCAAUCCAUUACUAGGACAUAGGGCUUAAGUAGAGAAAGGUAAAAGAUACUGUGGAGGGCCUUGUGCUAGGAAUUGAGGAUUUUUAUCCAGGAGGCAAGGGAGAGCCAAUGAGGGAUUUAAAGCAGAGGAAUAACAUGCUCAGAUUUGCAACAGAUUAUUCUAGCAAUCAUACGGAGAAUGAAUUGGAGUAGAGAGGGAAAGGAAGGUAAGACCAGAGGCAGGGAGGCCAGUUGGGGGGCCUUUCCAGUAAUUGCAGCAAUAGGAUAAGUGCACUUUAACCAAGACAGCAACAACAGUAAGACUGAAGAAGAGAGGCCAUCCAUGAAAACUGGCAACUAAGAUUUCAAUGACUGGAUAUUCAGGGUAAGGAAGAAAGAGGAAUCAAACAUAACUCCUAGGCUUCUGGCUUGGGGAGUUAGAUGUGGGGCCAUUUACCAAAACAGGGAACAAAAGAGGAAUAGGUUUGGGAAAGAAGAUGCAGUGUUCCACUUUGGUCACAUUCAUUUGAAGUGCUGUGGAACAUGUAAAUGAAGAGGUCCAGCAGGCAGUUGAAUAUUUCUGUCUCAGGAAAGCUCUGGCCUAAAACUAUAUGUUUGGGAGACAUCCUUUCAAAAGUGGUAGUUGAUGCAAAUGGAAGUGGAUGAUAUUGCCAAGGAAGAUUAUGUAGAGUGAGAGGGGGAGUCAGAAUGAAGCCAUGGGGAAUGGCAGGAUUUGAAGGAUGGGUGGUAGUCCACAAAAGGGAGAAGGCAUGACUGGAGAGGUUGGGGCAAAACUAGAAACCGAAGCAAGAGUUUCAAAGACGAGGCAGUGGUCAACAAUGCCGAAGGCUACAAUAAGGCUGAAUAAAAUAGGGACUGGAUAGCCUCUACUGUAUUUGGCAACUGUAGGAUGGACUGUAGGAGCAGUUAAUAUAGGCACUGAAUCCAAUGGUGAGGGAGAAUAGUUGGGAAUAGCAGAAUAGCAUGCUAGAGGAGGUAACAUCUGGACUGUGACCUUGACCAGUGCCUUAUGGGGAAAGAAGCCCAAAAACUAGUUGAGAGGGGUGAAUGCCGAGAUAGUCUGAACGGAAGCUCCUCUUUCUAGAAAUUACAAAUGGAAAGGAGAGAGGUGAUACAGUAGUUAAAAGGGGGAUAUAGAAUCGAGAGGCUUUUUUUGAAGAUGGAAGAAAUAAAAUAUUCAUGUGUCAAAGGGAAAAGGCAGCAGAGGGGAAAUUUCCAAAUAUAGCAAUAAGAGAUAAUUGAUAAAACAAACUCACCUAGGAAGCAGGAGGGGAAGGGGGUCCAGAGAACUGGUGAAAGAAUUAGUGUUUGAUGGGAGGAAGCACAUUUAUUCAAAUAAAACUGGAAAGGCUGGGUACAGACAAGAUCCUGAUGUAGGAAGUUGCUCAAGGUCUACCUGAUGAGCUCAUUCACUUCUCUGAACCUCCAGUCUACAAAGAUGAACAUUCAUUUCUGAAGUAAUUUCUAUAAAUAUAGGUCUGAAAAAAUAUGGAGAAUCCACAAAUAACAGGAGUUCCUAAAGAAGCAGAUAUAAGACGGAAGAAAUUCAUUUGUUAAAAAACAAACACUUAAAUUAGUUGUGUUCAACUUCAAGCCUAGUGGGAGAAAAACUAAAGUAGAAGGAAGGAAAUAAUGAAAAUAAAAGCUGAAGUUAAUAAAACAAAUAGGAAAAGGUUUAACAAAACCAGAAGUUGAUUUAAUAGAAAUAACCUAAAAAAAUCAUUAAAAUUCAUUGUAAAGACGCAAACAAAAAAACUAUUAGGAAACACAAAGGAGAAUGCAAAUACAGUAGAGACUUUUAAAGGAUUAUUAUCAAAUUAAUUUUAAAUUAAUUUCCAGAUGAUUUUGAAAACUGACUCAUGAAAUAGAAAAUCUGAAUUUUGCCAAACCCACCAGAAAAAUCCCAUUUUCAUAUUUAAAAGGAAAAGCUAUGCAACUCAUUUUACAAAGUUAGCAUAAUCUUGAUACCACAUUAGAUAAAGUUAAAAUUUUUCUGUAUCAGUCUCACUUGUGAAAAGACUAAAUAAAAUUUAGAAUCUUUGGUUAUCUAUUCUAGUGCAAACACCUGGAGUUGGAAAACCAAAAGGGAAGAAAACACUUAGCAUUUCUCAAGCUGAAAGAACUGAAGAAAAACUUCAAGCCUCAAGUUGCAAUACAGAAGGGUUCUAUGGGCAAAAUAUUGAACGAUGCAGGAAGCAUCAAAAGAUGAUGGAAGGAAUACACAGAGUCACUAUACCAAAAAGAAUUGGUCAACAUAUUCAGCCAUUUCAGGAGGUAGCAUGUGAUCAAGAACCAAUGUUACUGAAGGAAGAAGUCCAAGCUGCACUGAAGCCAUUGUAGAAAAACCAGGCUCCAGAAAUUGAUGGAAUACCAACUGAGAUGUUUCAACAAACGAAUGCAACACUGGAAGUGCUCACUCAUCUAUACCAAGACAUUUGGAAGCCAGCUACCUGAUCAGCCAACGGUAAGAGAUCCAUAUUUGUGUCCAUUCCACAGGAUGCAGAAAUUAUUGAACAAUAUCAUUAAUAUCACACCCAAGUAAAAUUCUGCUGAAGAUUAAUUAAAAAUGGUUGCAGGAGUACAUAGGCAAGGAACUGCCAGAAAUUCAAGCUGGAUUCAGAAGAGGAUGUGGAACGAUGGAUAUCAUUGCUGAUGUCAGAUGGAUCCUGGCUGAAAGCUGAGAAUACCAGAAAGAUAUUUACCUGUGUCAUUGACUAUGUGAAGGCAUUCGACUGUGUGGAUCAUAACAAACUAUGGAUAACAUUGCAAAGAAUGGGAAUUCCAGAACACUUAAUUGUGCUCAUGGGGAACCUGUGCAUAGACUAAGAGGCAGUCAUUCGAACAGAACAAGGGGAUACUGAGUGGUUUAAAACCAGAAGGGUGUCAGCGUUGUAUCCUUUCACCAUACUUAUUUGAUCUGUAUGCCGAGCAAAUAAUCCGAGAAGUUGGACUAAAUGAAGAAAGAUGAGGCAUCAAGAUUGGAGGAAGACUUAUUAACAACCUGUGUUAUGCAGAUGACACAACAUUACUUGCUGAAAGUGAAGAGGACUUGAAGCACUUACUGACAAAGAUCAAAGACCACAGCCUUCAGUAUGGAUUACACCUCAACAUAAUGAUAACAAAAAUCCUCUCAACUGGAUCAAUAAGCAACAUCAUGAUGAACAGAGAAAAGACUGGAGUUGUCAAGGAUUUCAUUUUACUUGGAUUCACAAUCAACACCCAUGAAAGCAGCAGUCAGGAAAUCAAAUGACAUAUUGAUUGCAUUGAGCAAAUCUGCAAAAUACUUCAGAGGGUUAAAUGCAAAGAUGUCACUUUGAGGACUAAGGUGCGCCUGAACCAAGCUAUGGUAUUUUCAAUUGCCUCAUAUGCAUGUGAAAGCUGGAGAAUGAAUAAGGAAGACUGAAGGAGAACUGAUGCAUUUCAAUUAUGGUGUUGGCAGAGAAUAUAGAAUAUACCAUAGACUGCCAGAAGAAUAAACCGAUCUGUUUUGGAAGAAAUACAGCCAGAAUGCUCCUUAGAAGCAAGGAUGGCGAGACUUUGUCUUAUGUACUUUGGACAUGUUAUCAGGAGGAACCAGUACCUGGAGAACAUCAUCGUUGGUAAAGUAGAGGGUCAACAAAAAAGAUGACCCUCAAUGAGAUGGACUGACACAAUGGCUGCAAAAAUGGACUGAAACAGCAACGACUGUGAGGAUGGCGCAGUGCCGGGCAGUGUUUUGUUCUGUUAUACUUAGGGUCCUUAUGUGUCAUAGCUGACUCGAUGGCACCUAACGACUGUUUUUUUGGAAGAGUUUGUGAAUAAUUAGUACUAAUUUUUGUAUAAAUAUUUGAUAGAAUUUAUCAGUGAAGCUAUCUGGGCCAGGGCUUUUCUUUGUGGGUACACACACACGUAUCCUCUAAGGAUGUGGUAAUGAGUUUUGAUUUUAAGUGCAAUAAGAUGCCUUUGGUGGCAUUUGUUUUGGUGUCAUUAAUUGAUUUGUAUUUUUUAAAAGGUACUUUGUUUGCUAUGUAGAAAAAGGACCAUGGAUGGAUAUUGUGAAGAAGUUUUAAACUUUUUGUGUGUGUGUGGGGCACAUGCUCAAACUAUGAAUUCCAUAAAGGCAAUCACCUGAAAGUACAAAUAUAGAAAACUGAUCACUGGUCAAUGUCUUAGGCUGGGUUCUCUAGAGAAGCAAAACCAGUGAAAUGUAUGAAUAUAUGUACAGUGAUUUAGAUCAAGGAAGUGGCUCAUGCGUUUGUAGAGGCUGGAAAGUCCCAAGACCAAGGCUGGAGGGUUCUCCUGACUCAAGUAGCUGCAGAGGCUGGUGAACCCAAGAUCAGCAGGUCAGACAGCAGACCUCUGGCUCACAGGCUACGGAGACUGACCAGUCCCAAGAUCGGCAGGUAAGCUGGCUAGCUCAAGUCCCAAGAACCGGAUGUUAGAUGAACAGGGGCCAGCUGCAAGAUCCAGAGUAAGCAAAAGCCAACGAACUUGGCUAGAAAGUCCACCUAUAUUGAAUGCAGUCCACUCCCCCAAGGAAAUUUCACUGUCAACUGAUUGACUUCUCAUAACAGAGCUCAUCAUGGAUGUGAGAUUACAUUAUAUCAGAUCGCAUUAUGGGGGGGUUUACAUCAUUACAUAGCUACCAAACUACAUCAUAACUGCCAAACCACUGAGAAUCAUGGCCCAGACAAGUUGACACACAACUUUAACCAUUACGGUCAAUAAAUGAAAAAGUUACUCAGUGAAGGAACUCAUUAUGAGUCAUGUAUGCUUUAAAUAUUUUAAUUUAAAACAUACAAGUAUACAUUUAUUCAUGAAUCUUUUGAUGGAGAGCCAACACUGUUUUGAAUAUAGAUCCACCAACUGAAGUAUAUCAAUGAAAGAUGGAGUCAUCUUGCAUAAAACAACGUCUGUAACUUGUAUUUGAUUUUCAGUUUGUUUACUUAAAGAUACUUGAAACAAUCUGAAUGCAGAAUUUUUUUUUACCAAUUUUUUGCAUCUAAUUUGACAAUACAUUUUAAAUAAUGGUCCCAGAACCAGAGCUUGUAAAGUCAAAUCUUUCCAAAGCAUUUCAACUUAGUUUUUAUAUAAACAAAAACUGCUUUUCUGCACUCAUAUUUAAUUGGUUAACGUAAUAGUUACUUGUUUUAUUAUAGUUACAAGUACAGCUGGUGUAAACAGGAUUAGGACUAACUAUAAUUUUUUUCUUCUAUAAUCUUAUUAUACAGCUCAUCUAGUAGAAAUGCACAGAAUACUAGAAGGCAGCCUACUAAAUGUCAAUUAAUCCGGGGAGUCAGUUAAAUGGGGGUAGAUUAAAAGAUGAUCAUCUGUAAAUUGUAUUUGAAUGUGUCAAGUAUCAUCACUGCCAAGUGGGAGUAUUAAAAAGCUGCUGACCAGCCCUCAGGCUGACCUCUCUGGACCUCCUAAAUUCCCCCAGAAUCUUCACACUGGCAGGUUGCUCUGGCCAGCAUAAAGAAGGUUCCUCCAGUAGCUGAAUGUCUAUUCUAGGCUGUCUUGCUACAACUCUGUAAUAAUCUUGAAGGUAGUUUGCUUUUGCAGUCCAACUAAUACAAACAAUAACCAGUACUUGCCGUUCUUUGGAAACCCUAUGGGGCCGUUCUACUCUGUCCUAUAUAGGGUGGCUAUGAGUCAGAAUCAACUUGACGGUAACAGGUUUGUUUUGUUUUGUUGUCUAUUUUAGGUUUUUACCAGUGGAACCAGGUAGGAUCCUACUGAAAUAUACAAUGCAAGAAAUAAUGAUGGUUUGGACUAAGGUGGUGGUGGUGGACAUACAGUGAAAGUGAGGUUACAAGGGAAAUUAUAUGUCCUGCGUCCAGGUAUAUUAGUAAGUACUCUCAAAAUAACAGCAACCAAAUUAAGCUAGUUUAAAUAGCAAAGGACUAGUCAGUACACUGGGUCCCUAGUGGCACAGGUGCUUGACUACUAGCUGAAAGGUUGGCAGUUCGAAUCCUCCCAGAGGCUCAUCAGAAGACAGGCCUGGCAAUCUGCUUCGAAACAUCAUAUAGCCUUGCUAUACCCUGCACACAUGGAGUCACCAUGAGUCAGAACUGACUCAACAGCAACUAAAAACAUUCAGUACAAGGACAAAGUGCAGCUUAUGGAACGCGAAGGCUGUGACACGCAGUUGUGCCUCAGGCAGAUACUAGAACUUGCUUGCUGUCUCAGCUAACUGGCUUUAUGGGUGGAUGGAAGAUGUCCAUUAUACAGCUCCCAACUUGAGGUUCAUUCAUCUAGGGAGAUUAAUUUUUGCCCCUUACCAAUUUCCAUUGGGGAGACUCUUGAUGGCCCAACUUUGGGUAAGGUGCCCAUUGUUGGUAAGAUAUGAAUGACUGUGAGGAGGAGUUCCCAUAAAAGGGGGAAGGAUUGGACGGACAGCUCUGUAGUUGUUCACUACUCCAGUGCCUUACAGGUAUAUAGGCUCAAUUCCAGAUUAGAUAACAGGAGGCAGUGAAUAGUCUCAGAGCUGAGUUAUCUGGGACAACUUGUCUCAGGAGUGUUACCUGAAAUAGUGUGAUUGUAGUUAAUACUACCAAUCCCUGCAGGGAUUUAGGACCUAUCUUUGGUUUCCUUGUGUGUUCAGACUUGAGAAUUGAAGGACAAAAAAAACCCAAAACAAUUAAGCCUAUAUUUAGGCCACAAAGCCUGUAUCUAUCAGCUUUAAAUAAUUUCUGACUUGAGAGGUGGGCUGUCCCAGAUACUGUUCCAGGCUUUUAAGGCCUCCACUCUGGCUCAGUCCCUUUGUUAAUUCAUGAGGCUUCUCUGAAUGUGUGGCCACUUAGUGUUUUUCAGCUAAGUUUCCAGUAGUUACAUUGAAGUGUCUUCCAUAUUAAUAGCCAACAUUUUUUAGUGCUUACUCUGUGCCAGACAGGGCUGUACAUGUAUUAAACUCCAUCUAUAAAAAAAAAAAAAAAAAUUUUUUUUUUUUUUUAUAAAACCCCAUGGGAUAGGUGGAGUUAUUGAGUCCAUUUCAUUAUAAUGCCCCCUCUUUCCUAACUGGAAAAAAAGUAUGCUAAAAGAGCUAAACAGGUGCCAUCACAGGCUUCACCAGUUUGUUUUAAAACAACAAUUACUUAUUUUUUCAGUAAUUCUAGGACUUAGACUGAGUGUUCUUCUCCCGAUUUUGAUAAGGAGACUUACACUCAAAGAGGUUGGAUAAUUUGCUCACUCAAAAACCUAGUACGCCUAACAUGAGCAAAAUAAGGGCAGUCACCUGUUCUAGCUUGUAAUAGGUAGUGAACAAUGUGAGCUCUUAAGUGUUUGGCACAGAGUAACACUACAAUUUUAAACCACAUUGUCUGUAUCUGGCCCAAAAGGUCAGAAACGGGAGGGGCUCUUUCUUCAAAUCAACUUAAUAGUGGAGAUUUAACUAGCAAAAUGUCAGAAAAGUUUUGGAACUUUUUGUCAAAAGCAUGCUAAAGGGUUUAUUUAUCGAGGAGUUGAAGCACUUACUGAGGAAGAUCAAAGAAUACAGCCUUCAGUAUGGAUUACAACUCACCAUAAAGAAAACCAAAAUCCUCACAACUGGACCAAUAAGUAAUAUCGUGAUAAACGGAAAAAUGAUUGAAGUUGUCAAGGAUUUCAUUUUACUUGGAUCCACAAUCAAUGCUCAUGGAAGCAAAAUGGAAGCAGCAGUCAAGAAAUCAAACGAUGUAUUUGCACUGGGCAAAUUUAAUGUGUUAAAAAGCAAAGAUGUCACUUGGAGGACUAAGAUGCACCCGACCCAAGCCAUGGUUUUCAAUCACCUCAUAUGCAUGUGAAAGCUGUACAAUGAAUAAGGAAGACCAAAGAAUUGAUGCCUUUGAAUUAUGGUGUUGGUGAAGAAUACUGAAUAUGCCAUGGACUGCCAAAGAACAAAUCUAUCUUGGAAGAAGUACAUCCAGACUGCUCCUUAGAAGCCAGGAUGGUGCGACUUCCUCUUACUUAUUUUGGGCACGUUAUUAGGAGGGACCAGUCCCUGGAGAAGGAUGUCAUGCUUGGUAAAGUAGAGGGUGAGGAAAAAAGAGGGAGACCCUCAACAAGAUGUUUUGACACAGUGGCUGCGACAAUGGGCUCAAACAUAGCAAUGAUUCUAAGGAUGGUGCAGGACCGAGCAGUUUCGUUGUUACACACAGUAUCCCUAUGCGUCCGAACUGACUCUACAGUACCUAACAUCACCAUAGCUAUAAAAGAACACUAAGGAAAUGAAUAAAACAAAAAAUUCAGAAUAAAGCUGUCCUUCCCCAGAUAAGUGGUUACACACACAUUCAUAAAUUUAUUUUUUAAACUUUCAUAAUUUAUUAGAUGACUGCGUAACACUUUAUUUUACGAUAUCGCAUUGUAUGUAACUUUUUUAUUCACAGUUGAACGUUUUGGGGAAUGUGUACUACAGCUUACUACACCAAAGUGGAGUUCAAACACUCUACUGGCACCUAAGUCUUCGUAAAAAACGCUAUUUCAUAUGGAUGAAAGGAUGCAACUCGCAAUACCAUUUCAUAAGAUUCAGAACAUGGGUGAACUAAGAGAAGCUAAGAUAAAGUCUCCACGCUUCAAAAGUUACUUCCCCUUACAGGAGCGUGGACAGGUCGAGGACCACAACUCUGGCCCUGAUCCCCCAACCCAGAACACAUACUGGCUGAGCCUAGAGCGUUGUCACUAACGGAUGAAAACUGCCCCACACCGAGCGACCUCCUGAAAGCUAGUGAGGACCUCCGGCAACAGACAUGCAAGAGGAGGAGGGGGGAAAGGUUUAAAUCCUGACGCGAAAGAAACAGCCCAGGUUGCGUUCACCCCCAGCUUUCUGCAGGGUCACACCCCCUAGCUGCACAAUUCGCAGUCCCAAAAAGACCCGUACAAGAUGGCGGCGCAUCACGUGAGCAACGCGCUGACGUAGGACGGCGGCCCGCAGGGAAGAGCCGCCUAACCUUCAACCCCCCCCGCGCUCACUUGCACUCAGUUUUGCCCCCCUUGCCUCCCCCGCCCUCGGCUUGGUGUAGAUAAUGCCGCCACUGGGGGCCCUGGCUGCCGAGGAAACGGUAGCCUAGGACAGUUGGCUGUUAAGUGACAUUGGGUCUUCCCGGCCCACCAGAUCGCUGAGAAACAGGCACGUCCCCCGCCGCGUGAGGGGGUGGAGAAAGGGGUAGUGAACUCGGAUCCACCCUGGGAGGGGGGAGUGGAAGUUCACGCCCCAGACAGCGGCGAGGCGGCAGCCACAGUUGAUUAUGGAAGAUUCCCACAAGAGUAACACUUCAGAAACAGCACCUCAACCCAGUUCAACAGUUCAGGGAGCUCAUAUCUCUCAUAUUACUCAACAGGCAUCAUCCUUAUCAGAAAGUGAGGAGUCUCAGGACUCAUCUGACAGCAUAGGCUCCUCACAGAAAGCCCACGGGAUCCUAGCACGGCGCCCAUCUUACAG